RNAcentral lists this long non-coding RNA (605 nucleotides) under Pan troglodytes (chimpanzee). Its description in RNAcentral is "long non-coding RNA NONPTRT017582". The record is from RNAcentral. Lineage: Eukaryota; Metazoa; Chordata; Mammalia; Primates; Hominidae.
CUCCAGGACCCCAGGGCAGACCAGGCCGGCCUGGACAGCAGGGUGUGGCUGGUGAGCGAGGCCACUUGGGCUCGAGAGGCUUUCCUGGCAUCCCGGGUCCCUCAGGUCCCCCAGGCACCAAGGGCCUCCCAGGAGAACCGGGCCCUCAGGGACCCCAGGGGCCAGUUGGGCCUCCAGGAGAGAUGGGACCCAAGGGGCCGCCGGGUGCAGUGGGAGAACCGGGCCUUCCUGGGGAAGCCGGGAUGAAGGGUGACCUUGGACCCCUGGGCACUCCUGGGGAGCAGGGCCUCAUUGGGCAACGGGGAGAGCCAGGCCUCGAGGGUGACAGUGGCCCCAUGGGACCUGAUGGGCUGAAGGGGGACAGGGGAGACCCAGGGCCUGAUGGAGAACAUGGCGAGAAAGGCCAGGAAGGGCUGAUGGGUGAGGACGGGCCCCCCGGCCCCCCUGGCGUCACUGGUGUCCGGGGUCCUGAAGGAAAAUCAGGGAAGCAAGGCGAGAAGGGCCGCACUGGAGCCAAGGGCGCCAAGGGCUACCAAGGACAGCUGGGGUGUUCCGGGACGCAUGGGGGCCCAAGGAGAACCGGGACUGGCUGGUUAUGAUGUAAG